RNAcentral lists this long non-coding RNA (338 nucleotides) under Calidris pugnax (ruff). RNAcentral describes it as "lncRNA (ENSCPUG00000003815.1)". Lineage: Eukaryota; Metazoa; Chordata; Aves; Charadriiformes; Scolopacidae. The record is from RNAcentral.
ACCUGUAAGUCAACAAUUUUCCCUGUGGGUGCCGAGAGAAGGAGCUGGGAAUUUUCCCUCUGCACGCCAUCCUUCCCACUCCAAACCCGCGCAGGAUGUACAGGAUUUCAGCCUUUCCACGUGUGAUGUGGUGAUGGGAUAACGCGGCUCCUUGGACCACUUGGAGUUUCAAUGUGAAGAUGUCUGACUGCUACAAACUCCAUAGUUCUGAGUGAUGGACGAUGGAGAAUAGAAGUUGAUUUAGAAUAGCUGAGUUAGAAGGGACCUACAAGGAUCAUCUUGGUUGGACCACACAGUUGGACCAUACAAGGUCCUCUUCUCUCCCUCACGAAGGACUA